GGGAUCAUGUUAUGAGUUACAGAGGGGUAGGGUGUGACAAUGAAAUAGUAUGCAAAUGUGUUUAAAAACUUCUAUACAAUUCAAGUGUAUCAAAAUAUGGCAUGAAAAUAGAAAGAUGAAGCUAGCAUGUGAGAGCUUCAAUGGAGGUUUUUAGGAGGAUUUCCAAUUCGGCAUAAAGAAAUGAAGAAGAUGAAUGAAGGUAGUGGAUGUACAUUUGUCUUCUAAUGGCUUUU
Molecule: unclassified non-coding RNA, 233 nt
Filed under: Hevea brasiliensis (rubber tree)
Lineage: Eukaryota; Viridiplantae; Streptophyta; Magnoliopsida; Malpighiales; Euphorbiaceae
Source: RNAcentral